GAGAACAAUUUAAACCCCUUAACGAGUAACCAUCAGAGGGCAAGUCUGGUGCCAGCAGCCGCGGUAAUUCCAGCUCUGAUAGCGUAUAUUAAAGUUGUUGCAGUUAAAAAGCUCGUAGUUGGACUUUAGGAUACAUUGAUAUGGUCUCUUGUGAUAAACUUGUUGUACUGUAUCGAUUGUCCUUUCCUACUGGUUACUCGACUCUGUUCUUUAUUGCAUGGAGUAGUGUCGCAAGGCAUCGCUUAGUAUUUUAUUGCUUUUAGAUGUAGUAAUUGGGUAAAACUGGUUAUGAAACCUAAGGGAUCACAGUAAAGUAUUAAGUGGGGUUCCAGUUCAUUUACUUUGAGUAAAUUAGAGUGUUCAAAGCAGCCUGUAUGGGCAUUGAAUAGAUUAGCAUGGGAUAAUAGAAUAGGAUUCUUAUCUAUUUAUUGGUUUAUAGAUUUAGAAUAAUGAUUAAUAGGGAUAGUUGGGGG
This 473-nucleotide ribosomal RNA is filed under the name uncultured eukaryote. Its description in RNAcentral is "bacterial SSU rRNA". It matches the Rfam family "Eukaryotic small subunit ribosomal RNA", at positions 516 to 888 of the family's 1831-position model. The record is from RNAcentral.